GCUCAUCCACCAGAAUGGAUGCUCUGGUUGCUCUUUGAACCAGCUUGGCCUUGCCUGGCAUGUACAGGCCCCAGCCAUAGGAGUUUUAGCCAAUUCAGAGGCCUUGCUCCCCACAAUUUGGAACAUUCCUUUGGAUUUGACCAAGUCAGGAAGAGAUGGGAGAAAAGUGAAACAACAACAAUAAAACCCCAAGCAUAAACAAACAAAAAGAGUUAAGCAAAACAACAACUGCACAAUUCAUA
RNAcentral lists this long non-coding RNA (242 nucleotides) under Homo sapiens (human). RNAcentral's name for it is "HSALNT0402752". The record is from RNAcentral. Lineage: Eukaryota; Metazoa; Chordata; Mammalia; Primates; Hominidae.